This is a non-coding RNA of Acanthosepion pharaonis, 112 nucleotides long. The record is from the annotation of a GenBank genome assembly. NCBI's taxonomy places the organism in Eukaryota, Metazoa, Mollusca, Cephalopoda, Sepiida, Sepiidae.
CACUGAUACCCCUGGAAAAGGCCCGAUUCUCGUACGAUCACUGAAGUUAAGCAACGUCGAACUUGGUCAGUACCUAGAUGGGUGACUGAUUGAGAAUACCAGAUGCUGUAAG